CUUUUGUGGAUUAUUAAUAUUUGGAGAUUCUAUAUAUAUGGACAUCCCUGGUGAAGCUUUCUCAUUGCCUCCCUCGCAGUAAGAGCAAGUACAGGGACGUUAGGGCAUGCAGAGGACUGAAUAGGGAAACAAAGGCAUGGCGUCAAGCGAUUGAAGGCCGAGAUGGCAAAGAUCAGUGAGGAACAAAAUUGCAUUAGAGAGGGCCAAAGGAAAUUGAGAGAGAGGUUUUGAUGAGAAACAGUAUAUCUACUGCUUGGGUCAUGGCUCCAAUGUCUCCAUCUCCAUUUGAAGCUGCAAAAGUUGUGAUUAAUUCAGCUUUUCAAAUUUUACUUGUCUUCGACCUUGCUUUAUGCAUUUUUGAUCCUCACUAAUCUCUGCCAUCUCGGCUUUCAGACACUUUGAUACGA
This is a long non-coding RNA of Tripterygium wilfordii, 407 nucleotides long. RefSeq lists it as uncharacterized. The record is from RefSeq and is a predicted model, not a curated record. The transcript is spliced from 2 exons. Lineage: Eukaryota; Viridiplantae; Streptophyta; Magnoliopsida; Celastrales; Celastraceae.